UUACAGGUAACACACACACACUACCCCUACAUCUAGUCCUUACAGGUAACACACACACACUACCCCUACGUCUAGUCCUUACAGGUAACACACACACUACCCCUACGUCUAGUCCUUACAGGUAACACACACACACUACCCCUACAUCUAGUCCUUACAGGUAACACACACACACUACCCCUACAUCUAGUCCUUACAGGUAACACACACACACUACCCCUACAUCUAGUCCUUACAGGUAACACACACACACUACCCCUACGUCUAGUCCUUACAGGUAACACACACACACUACCCCUACGUCUAGUCCUUACAGGUAACACACACACACUACCCCUACAUCUAGUCCUUACAGGUAACACACACACACUAC
This 373-nucleotide long non-coding RNA is filed under the name Salmo salar (Atlantic salmon). RNAcentral describes it as "lncRNA (ENSSSAG00000101024.1)". Lineage: Eukaryota; Metazoa; Chordata; Actinopteri; Salmoniformes; Salmonidae. The record is from RNAcentral.